UUUACUAAUCGGCCUCUUAGCUGAGCUCCAGUGUGCUGUUCUUCUCAGUUCAGUGUCUGACAUGAUUACGAUUGGAAUAUUUCAUAUUGAACAGAUUUUUACAGUCGGAAGUGAGUUCUGGGGGUUGUUCCCUGCGCUACGUGCAUCGUCACGGUAUUGCGGUAUCUCCGGGAAUGGUGUACACCUG
Small nuclear RNA from Malurus melanocephalus (red-backed fairy wren), 187 nucleotides. RefSeq annotates it as U2 spliceosomal RNA. The record is from RefSeq and is a predicted model, not a curated record. Lineage: Eukaryota; Metazoa; Chordata; Aves; Passeriformes; Maluridae. The transcript has a single exon.